GUUGGUAAGGUAACGGCUUACCAAGGCUAUGAUGUUUAGGGGUCCUGAGAGGGUGGUCCCCCACACUGGUACUGAGACACGGACCAGACUCCUACGGGAGGCAGCAGUGAGGAAUAUUGGUCAAUGGGCGCAAGCCUGAACCAGCCAUCCCGCGUGCAGGAAGACGGCCCUAUGGGUUGUAAACUGCUUUUCCAGGGAGAGAAACUUACGCACGUGUUGCGUGACUGACGGUACCCUGGGAAUAAGCAUCGGCUAACUCCGUGCCAGCAGCCGCGGUAAUACGGAGGAUGCAAGCGUUAUCCGGAUUCAUUGGGUUUAAAGGGUGCGUAGGCGGGCUAUUAAGUCAGUGGUGAAAUCCUGCAGCUUAACUGCAGAACUGCCGUUGAUACUGAUAGUCUUGAGUUUGGUUAAGGUAGGCGGAAUGUGUAAUGUAGCGGUGAAAUGCUUAGAUAUUACACAGAACACCAAUUGCGUAGGCAGCUUACUGAGCCGACACUGACGCUGAGGCACGAAAGCGUGGGGAUCAAACAGGAUUAGAUACCCUGGUAGUCCACGCCGUAAACGAUGAUUACUCGCUGUUGGCGAUACACUGUCAGCGGCUAAGCAAAAGCAAUAA
RNAcentral lists this ribosomal RNA (616 nucleotides) under uncultured bacterium. RNAcentral describes it as "bacterial SSU rRNA". It matches the Rfam family "Bacterial small subunit ribosomal RNA", at positions 248 to 863 of the family's 1533-position model. The record is from RNAcentral.